UGGGCUUGACAUGUACCUGACCGGUGUGGAAACACACCUUCCCUUCGGGGCAGGUUCACAGGUGGUGCAUGGCUGUCGUCAGCUCGUGUCGUGAGAUGUUGGGUUAAGUCCCGCAACGAGCGCAACCCCCGUCGCAUGUUGCCAGCGGUUCGGCCGGGGACUCAUGCGAGACUGCCGGUGACAAACCGGAGGAAGGUGGGGAUGACGUCAGUGCUUGCCU
RNAcentral lists this unclassified non-coding RNA (220 nucleotides) under uncultured Solirubrobacterales bacterium. RNAcentral describes it as "contains 16S-23S intergenic spacer region". It matches the Rfam family "Bacterial small subunit ribosomal RNA", at positions 976 to 1200 of the family's 1533-position model. The record is from RNAcentral. Lineage: Bacteria; Bacillati; Actinomycetota; Thermoleophilia; Solirubrobacterales.